Molecule: non-coding RNA, 293 nt
Organism: Phascolarctos cinereus (koala)
Lineage: Eukaryota; Metazoa; Chordata; Mammalia; Diprotodontia; Phascolarctidae
Source: RefSeq, a predicted model, not a curated record
CAUGAACAUAGAAGCAGAAUACUUAUGGGUGAUAGCAAGAUCAAGGUCAUGACCAUGUCUUUGUGAAGCAUGGUGAAAACUGAAGAUCUUUAAAAGUUGUAGUCAAGCAGGAUGGGGCACUGAAUGAACUAAGACAGGCGAUGUAACAGCUGAGCUGAAUUGUAUGGUUGAAAAUACCCCUAGGAAGUGAACUUUAACUGCUGUACAUUCCAAAAUAAGAGGGAGACAUGGUGUUCCAAAGAACAAUAGCGUCCACUGAAUUCACAUCUGAAUAAAUAGGCAAUUUGCUUAAU